GCUCCUUGGAGUUGAGCGGCGCGACGGUCCUGCAGCAGCUAGCCUGGGAUGUACCCACAGCUCACCGGGGAGUCCGGGCCACACGUCAGCUGGAUCUUGAAUGAGAUGAAGACGGGGAGAAAGGGCCUUCCGGACAAAGGGCUUACGCCCUGGAUAAAGGGCGUGGAGGGGCGUGGCACGUUCAGUCUGGACACAGCAUAAAGUGCAUUGGAGAGAGGCGGGAGACAGGAUGGAAAGGAGGGUGGGAAGAGCUAUGAAGCUCCCCAGGGCCUUGCUAACGCGUUUGGACUUUAUCCCGCGCCAGACUUUUUAAAGGUGGGCGGUGCUCCAGGUGUGAAUGGAGACGACUUCGAGCUCACUGUGCUGAGAAACUGCUUUUCAGAGGGCUUCUACAGAGCCCACAGCUCAUCUUCUAGAAGUCAUCUAUAGCUACUGUCAGUUUCUAGGCUUCCAAGGACACCCUUCAGCCUACUGCAAUGCAGCUUCUUACCCUACUCCUCCAUGGACAGAUGACAUCCAUUUCUGAAAUCCAGGGGCCACACUUCAAUCUAUCUCAUGAGGUAUCUCUGCUUGGUGGACACCGAUGUUCUCCCUUCCUGAAGACUCUGCUUCUCUGACUUCUGUGAGCAUAGCCUCUUCUGGUCACUCGUUCUCUGGCAUAGACUUCUUCUCUGUGGGCUGGCAGCGAACAGUGGGGCCUUCAGCAUCAUUAUUGCUCAGGUCAGUACAAAGGACCACAUAAGGGAGUAUGAUAGUGAGGAGCCAAGAUCACUCCACAUCUCGAGAAGAGAUGAUAGCAGCCUGGAAUGGUUUGGUGGCCAUGGGAAUAAAGAGAAAGGGACUGAUUUGACAGAUGUUUAAUGGGUAAACAUCACAGGAUUUGGCAAUUGGCUAUGGAAGAUAAAUGGGAGGAAGGAGUCUAGGAUGACUGUUGUGUUUCAUCUUGUUGGGGGGUGACUUGACUAGGCUGAUGACUUUGCUCAAUCCAAUAGGGGAUACAAAAACAGCAAAGACAUGAAAGAGAAGAUGAUGAUAGUGGUAUCCCAGAAAAUGAGAGGGUAACCAACAGCACCAAAAGUCAGGCAAUCAGAUAAACCAGUUUCUAAGCUGAGGAAGGGGAGUGACAAUUCUUUCAAGAAGAUUGUCCACAGAGAGAAACAAUAGGGUAAUAACCAGGAGUGCAGGGUUGAAGGGGCGUUUUUUGGCUGAGGGCAACGGACCAGUAGAGGCUGAGCAGCUGAAAGUACAGGUGCCAAGGGGGUGGCUGAAGGAGUAAGAUCCCAUUGAUGGGAUGAAGUGGGAUCAUAACAGAUGACAGGUUGAACAGAAAGGCUAUCUCCAUGCAUGAGGCAGCAGGAUGCAGAUGUACACACUCCCUUGGAGGCUCACAGUGGGAAGUGAAAGUUCCUGCAUUUUGAACUUUCCUCCCUCUGUGAAUUAGGAGGUGAGGUUAUCUAUUAGGCACGUGGGUGAGUAAGCAGUUGGAACCAAGUGGUGAAUGUUUAUAGAAGAGGGUUCUGACCAAAGACAAAGAUUGCUCAAUGGCACUGAGGUCCAACCGCAGUUGAAUGCCCUAGAUUCAUAACAGCCACAAUCUGUACACUUCUAUCAUUUUUAGUUGUUAUAUUCUACACCCCAAGCAGAUACACACAGGGAUAAACUGAGUCAGGCAAUUCAGGCUUGGAAGCUUGCAAAGCUGGUAGAGUUUGAGGAUGAGGGGUUUAAGGAGCUGAGGGCAUGAAUGAGAAGUCUGAGUUGACCACAGGGCACCAGUUGCAUAAGGUAGAGAAUGGGGUUAAAAAGGGAAAAACAAAAGAAAAAACCGGCUGGGCGUGGUGGCUUACACCUGUAAUCCCAGCAUUUUGAGAG
RNAcentral lists this long non-coding RNA (1869 nucleotides) under Homo sapiens (human). Its description in RNAcentral is "HSALNT0303927". Lineage: Eukaryota; Metazoa; Chordata; Mammalia; Primates; Hominidae. The record is from RNAcentral.